GAUGAACGCUGGCGGCGUGCUUAACACAUGCAAGUCGAACGAUGAAGCCCAGCUUGCUGGGUGGAUUAGUGGCGAACGGGUGAGUAACACGUGAGUAACCUGCCCUUAACUCUGGGAUAAGCCUGGGAAACUGGGUCUAAUACCGGAUAGGAGCGUCCACCGCAUGGUGGGUGUUGGAAAGAUUUAUUGGUUUUGGAUGGACUCGCGGCCUAUCAGCUUGUUGGUGAGGUAAUGGCUCACCAAGGCGACGACGGGUAGCCGGCCUGAGAGGGUGACCGGCCACACUGGGACUGAGACACGGCCCAGACUCCUACGGGAGGCAGCAGUGGGGAAUAUUGCACAAUGGGCGCAAGCCUGAUGCAGCGACGCCGCGUGAGGGAUGACGGCCUUCGGGUUGUAAACCUCUUUCAGUAGGGAAGAAGCGAAAGUGACGGUACCUGCAGAAGAAGCACCGGCUAACUACGUG
Molecule: ribosomal RNA, 466 nt
Filed under: uncultured bacterium
Lineage: Bacteria
Description: partial 16S ribosomal RNA
Rfam family: Bacterial small subunit ribosomal RNA
Source: RNAcentral